RNAcentral lists this ribosomal RNA (459 nucleotides) under uncultured bacterium. RNAcentral describes it as "partial 16S ribosomal RNA". It matches the Rfam family "Bacterial small subunit ribosomal RNA", at positions 338 to 795 of the family's 1533-position model. The record is from RNAcentral.
CCUACGGGAGGCUGCAGUGAGGCAUAUUGGUCAAUGGGCGCGAGCCUGAACCAGCCACGUCGCGUGAGGGAAGACGGUCCUCUGGAUUGUACACCUCUUUUGUCGGGGAGCAAAAGACGCCACGCGUGGCGUUCCGCGAGUACCCGAAGAUAAAGCAUCGGCUAACUCCGUGCCAGCAGCCGCGGUAAUCCGGAGGAUGCGAGCGUUAUCCGGAUUUAUUGGGGUAAAAGGGUGCGCAGGCGGACGAUCAAGUCAGCGGUAAAGUUGAGAGGCUAAACCUCUUCGAGCUGUUGAAACGGGUUUGCUUGAGUGAGCGAGAAGUAUGCGGAAUGCGUGGGGUAGCGGUGAAAUGCAUAGAUAUCACGCAGAACUCCGAUUGCGAAGGCAGCAUACCGGCGCUCAACUGACGCUCAUGCACGAAAGUGUGGGUAGCGAACAGGAUUAGAUACCCGGGUAGUC